AUGAGUGAGGAGCUCGCCAUCCACGAUGACCUGUGCUCGACGCUGGAGAUGUUCAACCUGACGGACAGGUGCACCAGGGCUGAGGAAGGUCGCCUCACCCUUUUGAAGCACCCAGCUGACGACCCCGAAGACAAGAAAGUCAAGGCCAAGGAGGUGAAGCGCCAGGGCCCCGCCGUGCUAGCGGCCGAGCCCGAGCUAAAGCACGGUCGUGACCACGACGAGCACGCCAUGGACGGACGCCUAUUCUGCGUCUUUCACAAUGUUCACACUCACAACACCAACAACUGUCAGGAGCCCAGGGCGCUUCGGGACAAGCGCCUGAGCCGCCGCCAAGCGCGCAGUGACCGUGGUGGAGGCCGCGGCGGAGGUCGCUGGGACAACCGCAACCCUCGGCAGGUCUGGCAUGACCAGCCUCGCAAGGGCGGCUGGCGCGAUCAGCCUCGUGACGGCCCCCGGCGUGAUCAGCCUCGUGAGGUCCGUCCUCAGGGCAACGCCAGCCUCCCUCCGCUGCCGCCGCCACCAAGGAGGAACGACGACAACCAUCAGGAUGAGGGGGCUGGGGGCUAUCAGGAGCCUCGUGCGAUUGCCUGCAUCCUCGGCGGUGCCUAG
This 609-nucleotide ribosomal RNA is filed under the name Triticum aestivum (bread wheat). RNAcentral describes it as "partial small subunit ribosomal RNA". The record is from RNAcentral. Lineage: Eukaryota; Viridiplantae; Streptophyta; Magnoliopsida; Poales; Poaceae.